GGGCUUGUGGUUUAGUGGUAUAAUACUCCCUUAGCAUCUCUGUUACAUACAGAAACUGAUCUGGGAGUGGUCCGGGGUUCGAUUCCCCGCGAGUCCA
Molecule: transfer RNA, 97 nt
Organism: Microdochium bolleyi
Lineage: Eukaryota; Fungi; Ascomycota; Sordariomycetes; Xylariales; Microdochiaceae
Rfam family: tRNA
About the family: Transfer RNA (tRNA) molecules are approximately 80 nucleotides in length.
Source: Rfam